UAAAGAAAACCAAUUUCUUGCGGGACACAGCGGGUAAUCCCGAGCGGGCACGAUAGUCCCAUCUUGCCCACUUGGGCGGUAGCCAAUAACAGCCCAGGAUUUGGCUCAUCCUUCCUUAUAAUAGUGUUAAGUAUUGUACAAUGCGUUUUUGAUUUUAAAGUCUGUAAACGACAAAACUGUAGUUCGUGACCUUACAAUGGAAGCCUAGUUUGUGACCAUUCAGAUGAAACUUAAACAGCUUCGUGUAAUGCUGUUCCAUAGCAGUAUCGAUUAUUGUUCAAAACACGUGUCAUACCAUGCACUCAGAAAGAAACGCUAUGCGUUCUGUUGAAAAAGAACAUUCGUUCUACCUGGCACGCCAUAUAGUCCCUAGAGGAUUGCCAAAUGACGAAAUCUAGCCGCCAUUUUGAAUUGCAUAACAAUGUUAACAGAUGGCAAAAGCGUCAAUUCAACGUUCUCACGUUUUUUUUUAAGCAAAUUAUAACACAAAACACAUAUCCCCCUAAGUAAAGGUUGAAAUACAAAUUCGAACAGAUUAGAUAAUGGAAGCUGCUUUUACUCUUAAGCUUGGAAAAGAAGCCUCCAAGUAAGAAAAGUCAUCAAAAUAGUUUAGUUAAUAGUUAGAUAGGAAAGUGCUGUGUCUAUUAACAAAUAAUGAAAUAAUAGUUGAUUUAAGGUCAUAACUUACUUCCAUGAUUUAAUCUGGCUUUGCAUGCUAGUUUCUGUUAUAAAACGCAGAGUAAUUGAGGUUCUUUGAAAGACAACUAAGCUUCCACUCAAAAACAGUAAUCCUGGGCCAAACGUUAUGAAAACCUUAGUUCUUGAAUCGUACUUGUACAUGUGUUCUUGAAAAUGACAAAUGGAAAGCGUUUUAAAACUUGUUCGAGUAAACAACAUCACAACUUUUUAACCGUGCAUAAAUUAUGUCGGUAAUUUAUUCAUUUUAAACAAAGUAGAAAUGGUACAACUGUACAAAACAGCUCCCAUACGUGACAUUGCACCAGAGAAGUGUAUGAAGUGAAAGUUGAUAUAUUCAUCGAAUCAACUUAGAAUAACCCGCUUCAAGAUGAAUGCGGACUUAACACAGGCGAUGUAAGCGAGAAUGAUGUGGUAUCAAGGGUAGCCAAUCAAUUUAAAGUUGGGUGAGGAGUUAAAAAUUUCACCGUCUUUUAGAAUUACUACGAUUUAGAUAUCAAAUCUUGCACUGAAAAUGCUUAAGACGCAACAGGAUUUACUCUCCCUGCUAUAGACAUGUGACACAACGACAAGGCAUAACGGUCUCAUUAGUCAGUCCGCACAUGCACCUAAUGAUCUCCUCUGUGUGUCCAGCCAGCAGGCAAUGAUAGGCCUAAUUAAUCACCUUUGUCAAGCCUUUAAUUAGCUCUCGUGUUCUGAAAGCCACUCACAUGAUUUACCGCUAAAGGAAGAACUUUCCAGACCCGUGUAGGAGAUUCCAGUUACAGCACUCCUCAAUCGUAUCUAGGUACGUACAGAUGCACCUGCCGUGAGAGCAAACACUUGCUUGAAAAUUCGUCAGAUUGCAUGAAAACACCCAUAGUAGUACGCAGGAUACUUAGUUUUCUGGUCACGUACGCUGCAAAAAUACUUCAAAACGUCCGUAAGUGUUGAUUAUUUUUCGUGUCCUAUCUAGUUCGUGAAACGGAUGCACGAAGAAUUAACACCAAUUACUUGUCUUGUCACCGUAUUUUCUCGUUGUGUUGUUAUUCGGUACAAUAACUGGCCACCUUCGCCCUAAAAGAAUUAGGCAAUGAAAUCUUGUGGAGUUUGAAGCUGUAGGCACUCCAAAUUUAUCUGCAACUGCAACUGAAAGAGUCAACGAAAAGCCAUGUAAAAUUGUUGUACAGGACACUAAUUUGGAUCCUAAAUUGUAUUAUCAUUUGGCUCCCGUGAGCUUAUGUCUUCUCCUCAAGUCGGACAAUAAGAGAUGUUUUCUUCGCGACAGAAAGUUUAUUAGGUCUUAACGCUUUUAAUCUUAACGGUGUUCGCUGAUUUGGAAGAGUGGCUAAUUUGAAAUAAAUUUUUAGACUGAAAUAUUGCUUCGAAUAGGCACCCGACUGUGUUUUUGGCCUACUUCUGAAAGUCAACCUUAGUUAUCAUGUUUUAAUAAGUCGAUUGAGCAUAAACCACAAUGACAGAUUAUAGUUUAUUGAUAUGCAAUUGAAUUGAUACGCAAUUGAUGAUAGUUUCUAACCGUUCGAAUUAAAAAAUAAAGUACUUAGUUCUAAUAUAAGGCAGGUUAAUAUUCAGUUAUUUUAACAAACAGAAAUAUUUUUCUGGACUGUCUGAGGACUAAAACUCCCGACAUACUCAGGUUUUUGUGAAGCACGCUGCUUUCUCAGUCUGGCGUUGCCUAAUUCAGUCAAACGUUUGUACGUAGUAACCUAAAGUAAAGUUAAUUUUCGUUGUAGAUUGCUGAAUUAAACCUACGCAUGCGUUGAAAAGGACUAUUGAAGACGUCGAACCUAUCGCUGAGAUACAGACGCGAUCAGAUUACCGAAGUGUGCCGGGAGCAGGGCGUUUUAAAAAUGUUGCUUUCCGUUUCCAAAGUCGUGGUAGGGAUUUUGCUGAUCGUCAUUGUCACGGCUAAACAAAAAAGCAGACAAUAUUGGCCAAGACCAACUUCAGAUUGUGAAGUGCGAAAAGGCUUCCUCCAGAUGCAAAGUGACGGGUGCAAGUUCAAAAUUUCAACUUCUGGUUGUAGCGGCAAAUGCUUGUCGUCGGCGAAACCUUUCAGCCAUAGAAUUGGAUUUGCUUCAAGUUGCUCGUGCUGUGCACCCAUCGAAGCUACUAUCAAAGAAAAAUCAGUGAACUGCCACGGAGUAAUAAAAGUGAUUCGCUACCCAGAAGCAAAGAAAUGCGCCUGCAGACCGUGUUUAAACGGCUGACAUUAUAUAUCCGUCGUGCGAAGUUUUGAAGUGAAGCAAAGAGUUUUCGUCUUGUAAAGAGAAUGGUGCUGACGUCGCGACUUGCGUGGAUUUAAAAACAUCAACCGAGUACUAGCUCAGUAAUAUUGGAGUGGGAUUAGAGAAGAAGCCGUUAAAAAAAAAAAUAUAUAUAUAUAUAUUUAGAGUUUGGAAAAGUUUCGAAGGGCUCUUGAAAAAGACGUGAAUAUCGCCGAGCAAUAAUUAGACUUAAGGUGGAAGUUAACUUAAGACAGUUUAUUGUUGCGUUACGUGGUUUGUAAUAUACCAGGCCGUCUAUUAAUUUUGUGGUUUUACUUUUGUACCCAACUGCAUGCAGGUAACAUUGGGUUUCUUCACAGUACAUGAUAACGUGUUAUCAGGGGCAGAUAACGUUGUAUGAUUGAAAUUUAUAUAUCAUGCAAAGAGCAGCUCAUUAUUGCGCAACAGCGUGCAAUCUUCUUGGAAGCCGGUUUCGCAGGGAAGCACGAUUAACUGAAAACAUGGUAAGAAAAAUCGUUACGGUCAAUUUUUAAUAUCAAAUAGGUUGAUGUCGUUAAGAAUAUUUGCGAGCUAUAGAGCUAUGCAUUGAUCUUGAGAUGUUUUUCAUUGCAAAAGGCAAUUAAAAUUAACAUGAAUUAGACCGAUGUUGCCUACGGCGUGUUGCGGUUCCAUGAGCAAUUUACGUUUAGUUAAUUUUGUUCUUUUUCGCAGACAUCAAAUGUCGUUUGUUGAAACAAAAAGGCAAAGCAUAAUAACAAACCCUAUGGUCAACGCUAGGUCACUUAGAGGUUAUAAAACAGCGAAACCAACGGCGUAUAAACUGUGUGCAUAAAGGGAGGUGAUUAUAUGUAAAAGGGAUUACCUGUGUAUAGAUUUAAACGGCUUUGGACACUUCUAAAUAUUGUAAAUCAAUUUCUCUUAUUAAGUCUAAGUAAUAAGAAACAUAACACUAGUGUAAAUAUUUUCCAUAGAACUGAUCCCAGUUCUUCAUGUACAGAGGCAGUCGGCUUAUAUGACGCUGCAAACUGAUAAAUAGUCCCGAAUGUAGGCGGAAGACUAAUUGUUCAUUCACAAUUUAUGAUGACUGAAACACAAUAUGAAUAAUGGAUUUAAAUAGCAACCUAAAGGUUGUAAGCAAGAUAACGUAUAUAUAAGACCUAAACAGUAUGAAGUAUCACGCAAGUUGAAAAGAACAAAAAAAAUAAAGCACGUAAUUUGUUUAAACUGUACUGUAUCACGUUCACGGUUUGGAUGGUCACAAAGCAUGAAUUUACCUUUCAAUUUCUAGUUGCUGUUUAGCAAAUGCACAUUUACUAGAAACAUUUUUACUCACCACACCCAAUCCGCCCUAGCGUCAAUUACCAGACGUGGUUUUCGACACCAUAUAUCAAAUAGAAAAGACAGGUGAUGAAAAAUGGAAUCCGGAAGCAAUCUGACAGUCCGGAAACAAUCUGGCCUUUGUUUAAAAUAUUUUCAAAACAUGUAAUAUUUGCGAUUAUUUGUCUUCGCCCUAAAGAUUAUUAAAUAAUCGAAAAUCCUCGUUAUUUCCUGAGUUUUAAAAGUCUUCUUCCAACGUUCUCUAUUUUGUUAAAAUGGGUGUUUUGUUUUUUUUUGCUGAAAUGUAGAGAAACGCGACAAUCUGUACCAAUGUUGGAGGUCCACAUUGCAGAUAUUGGUGAUAGCAUUUCAGGAUUUGUUUAAUUUGUUUCCUCGGCCACAUUUUUAAGUCAUCUUUGAUCUCUUACUGAACAGAGGCUUGGCAAUUUGAAUUAAUUUUACAAUCAUGUAAUCUCAUCCUCAUGUCACCCACCCUCAUGUUACUCAAAAUUGUGGGCAAACGGUUGUGGUUACAAUGACCCUUCAAGAAUUUCUGAUUCCACUAAGUUUGCAGUAGACCUCAGUCAAUUUAGGAAUUCUAUUUUUCAUUCAUUCUUUAGAAACCCCACCUCUGUUGGUUCUCAGGCUUAGGGGCAUUGCUGGUGCACCUUAAUUGUUCCGGGAGACAUUGGGCUAGCUUUGAAACAGAACUUUAGGAUAGAUUAUGUAUAAAAUAACUAAGGUGAUUCCCGUAUUAUGAUAGGUCAAUAGUUAUUAAGCAUUAAGGUACAUUUAAGCUGUCAGAAUAGAUACGUUGGUUACUUUACUUCGAAUAUUUUCAUCAAAAUUAAUUGCAGAACGAAAUAUAUGACAAAUGUAGAAAGAAAAUAACAAAUCCAAAUUGAACACAAACGUCAAGAGCCACUUACCAUUGUUCACCUUAACAAUUGCUAACCAAGUUGGCGUCUCCACCAAGUCUUCACCUUGCAUUUAAUAGCUCUCAAGAGUUGAUCUAAGUGUAAAAGAACAUUCACGACUCAGUGGACUGAAAAACGAUUUUGCAAACGGCAUAUCGGCUUCUUCAGAUAUGUUUUACUUUCAAGACUGAAAUUUCUUAUGCAUUCUUCCACAUGACGGUCAUCAACUGACAACUCAUUCAAGCAAAACCAUUUUUUCCUAUCUAAAGCUGAAACUUCUACUCUAGAAAUUUACAACUGGUACCUGUCAAAGGCUUGUUCAGACGAAAUGCUAUCUUUGCAAGGGGAGAUCAAUGUUUGAUUUGGAGAGGAAAGAAACUACAGUGCAUGACGUUAGUGCAUUCCUGUGGCCUGAUCGAUCCAUCUGCCUGGAGACGGCGGCUUGGUAUAAUUAACGUUACCAGUGUUUUGAUCUGUUAAUUAUCGCUUCGAAAUCUGGCACUUGAAGUCUUGCACCAAGUCGGAAAUCUCUGUGCUAGGUAUUCUGUAUACAUCGGUAGGGAUUCGUGAUGUUUUUGGCGCUCCUGCUUGGUUAUCAGACUCGAACUCCAGUCAAAAUAAAAAGGGCAUAGAACUUCGUCCGGCAGAUUUUCUCUCCUUGCGAUUUUUCAGUGUUGAUCAAGCUCCAAAAUACAACCCCCUAGAGUUGCAAAAUCAUUGUAAGUUGUUUCUUGCAAUUGUCACGAAUGCGAACCACCAAAAUGCGUUAAUUCCGCUAUCGGUCAUGUUUAUAUCCCAUUUCACUGUCAGAGAAGUAACUUGCCAUACAUCUGGAGAAGAACUUUACGGUUUGACCACGAUUUCGGUUGAGACAAAACUCCUUCAGUAUUCUGGUGUUACGAUCCUCAGUACAUUCCCGAAAGGUCUUGUAAAUGCGAGCUUGCAAAUACCUCCUUGGACGAAUUCCUUACAUUGCGUCAACCCAUUUGAUCUGAAUUCUCGACAUGUUUUCCAAACAAAAGAAGAUACCUCAACUUCACUUGCCAAUAAUAGAAGUAAAUCAUUGGAAAUGAUUUUCCAAUUUGUGUCCAGUUGAGCAUCUAAUCAUGAUAAUUGCCAAGGCCGUGGCCAUGCCUUGGGAUUCCCUUGUUCGCUGAGUGCAUGGUAUGAAAACAAACCAGUUAAGGAACGGUUAAAGGUGUGGGUUUGCUCAUGACUGCAUAUGUAACUGCAGAUUAAGCUACCCGAGCUACUUCAAUGACCAUAAAAUUAGUUUUGACUAGGGUCAUGAAAGGGGCAGGGUAACUCAGGCGUUCUUUUAAGUAGCGGACGUUCAGGAGGUUCACUGAGAUGCAUGGUGGCCAAAACUGGAGGUAUGUUGGGCUGCUUUAGCAAAAUAAGUCGCUUUAUUCUUUGCUUUACUUUCUUCAAAUGUGCCCAUUGUAACGAAAGCAAAAAACAGAGAAAAAUCCAAAGAAUAUACAACUUAUAAUCCAGGGUUCAUAGACAUUUGAAAUGUUUUAGUUUCCUCACUUUAUUUGCAUCAGUUCAGGAGACACAAGCCGUUUAUAGGCUCACCAAGGUUCGUAUAUAGAAGCACCAAGGGCAGGCGAGAGAAUUUGACAAUAAAUCAAAUUACCUAUUUAACGAAAUAACUUUAAGGUAGCUAAAUGUGGCCUCAUUAAGGCAAAAGCCUUGUUUUCGAAAGUUGGCCGUGUUAUGUCAUUAACCAAAUUUGUAACCCGGCGCACAUGGAAUGUAUUGACAAGAUGUUUGGAUUUCAGAAAAGAAUAACAACAAAUGCCGAUGACAAUGUACCCAAAUUGACUGAAUUCAUGAAGCCUUUUGCGUUUUCCAUUAGCAUGGUCUACGUAAGGAUACUUCUCGAAGAUUUAUCGCUUUCUUAUAAAUAGCAUUAUGCAGAUGCAUUCAUAACUUAGACUUAUUGCAAGAAAUCGGCAAACGUCCAUAUGUUACGCAGUUGUUUCGAAAAAUACUCGUGAUUAUUAAACACUAUAUUACUUUAGUUAGGAGAACCAUCUACAUGUAUAAUGAUUAUCUAUAUCAGUGAUACUGCUAGAUGCACAAGAUUAAAGUUAAAUUUACAGCAUAAAGUUUAGCUGUACUUUUGGUUGUACAACGUAAUCAGUCAUGGUUCUAAAGGGAAAAUGAGAUGCUUGCUCUAGGCAACCGAUACAAUUUGAAGAUAAUCAUUUUGUCACAGGGCCAAAAGAUUCAACAGUAGAGAUCAAGGCUUCAGGAUUGCAGUAAAACAGAUACAGAGUAAGUUUUAUGGAGAAAAAAAUUAAUUUCUACAAGUACAUGCAUGGUUUGUUUUCAUCAUUUCAUAACUGCUGUUUAAUUUUCCGUCGAAGUCACCAUUUAAGGCCCAUUGUGGAGUAGGCCACUUGUUGUUUUCUUGGCCUAAAAAGGAACUUCUUAUCUAUCCCUCCAUUUCUCGCUUUGCAGGGGGUGAAGAGAAAGAAUUUUGCCUUUAGGUGUUUGUUCCAGAUUGGUAACCGAAAACAAAGUACCCGGUUUUCAAUUGAAGUGGAAAAUGUAAACAAGCUUUUCCUUGACUGAAGUGCUAAACAAAAGUUUAUAUAGUGAGUUCCCACGCUCUUAAAGCUCAUUCGCUGCAACGUAAUUAACAUGUUAAUUUAACAAGUGGCUCUGUGUGAUCUCGUAUACACAGAGCGCUUGUUAGCUACGUGUUUUGUCUACUGGAUUUCAGUCAUCGUAACAAUUUCAUGCUAUCACAAGUGUAUUAAAAUACCUCCUAAACCUAAAAAAAAAAAAAAAAAAAAAAAAA
Long non-coding RNA from Orbicella faveolata, 7970 nucleotides. NCBI's taxonomy places the organism in Eukaryota, Metazoa, Cnidaria, Anthozoa, Scleractinia, Merulinidae. The record is from RefSeq and is a predicted model, not a curated record.